RNAcentral lists this ribosomal RNA (573 nucleotides) under Triticum aestivum (bread wheat). RNAcentral's name for it is "partial small subunit ribosomal RNA". Lineage: Eukaryota; Viridiplantae; Streptophyta; Magnoliopsida; Poales; Poaceae. The record is from RNAcentral.
AUGCUUUACGGCUUAGAACCGGGACUUCAACGAUGUUUUGAACGUCAUGGAGCAUAUGAUAUGUUCCAGGAGUUGAAGUUAAUAUUUCAAGCAAAUGCUCGGAUUGAGAGAUAUGAAGUCUCCAAUAAGUUCUACAGCUACAAGAUGGAGGAGAAUGGUUCUGUCAGUGAACAUAUACUCAAAAUGUCUGGGUAUUGCAAUCACUUGAUUCAACUGGGAAUUAAUCUUCCGGAUGAUAGUGUCAUUGACAGAAUUCUUCAAUCACUGCCACCAAGCUACAAGAGCUUCGUGAUGAACUAUAAUAUGCAAGGGAUGAAUAAGACAAUUCCCGAGCUCUUUGCAAUGCUAAAAGCUGCAGAGGUAGAAAUCAAGAAGGAGCAUCAAGUGUUGAUGGUCAAUAAGACCACCAGUUUCAAGAAAAAGGGUAAAGGGAAGAAGAAGGGGAACUUCAAGAAGAACGGCAAACAAGUUGCUGCUCAAGAGAAGAAACCCAAGUCUGGACCGAGGGAAUCCUGGAUUAGGGGGUAUCCGGACAGCCGGACUAUAUACUUUGUCCGGACUGUUGGAUUAUGA